Molecule: long non-coding RNA, 1694 nt
Organism: Clupea harengus (Atlantic herring)
Lineage: Eukaryota; Metazoa; Chordata; Actinopteri; Clupeiformes; Clupeidae
Exons: 4
Source: RefSeq, a predicted model, not a curated record
CAGCCAAGGUAAGUUGUCAUUUAAGUAACGUCUGAAGUUGAAUGUAACGUUAAUUACGUGUUUUAAAAUGAUUUCGAUUGCUAGCUAGCAUCGACGUCAAGUCAAGUCAAAUGUAUUUAUAAAGCACAUUUAAAAACAGCUCACUCUGACGUGUGUGGCUGUCUAAUGGUUUCUUAAAUAAUGCUAAAGUGAAGUUACAUGUUACUUGUUGGCUAAUUUUGGCCUGUUUUCAGGCUUAGAUUUUGUUUUUGGAAAAAGGCAACGUUAGCUGCUAGUAGGUGAGAGGACGUUUACAAGCUAGUCAGCUAACAAUAAUUUUCUCGGGAGACCUAUAGUCAUCCAAUAAGUUAUCUGAGGUAAUGAUAACGUUCAGGAAAUCGUAACUUUACGUUACCAAUGUAUGUAAAUAUCAUUCAAGUACUUUUUUGUGUUGUUUAACGCAAAAAUUGGUUGGACAUUGCUGGAAUAUUAUAGGUUUUAUGUAGACAUCUGUGAACUAACGUCAUUAUUUGAGUCGUCGUCAAACAGAAGUAAUGGACAUCACGGUUCGGUAUAACGGGGUUAAAAGCAACAAAACCCAAAUGUAUAAGACUAUGUUUCUUGUCAUUUAUUUCCGCAGGUAGUAGUGGAAGCCACAGCUACGUCUUUAUAUGCUCUGUUCCACCUAGUGUUAUAUAGUUGCUAACGGUUUAUAGUUAAAGGGUUUCCCUGUGGUUCCGAAAUAUCAAUCCCAAGUAUAACUUUUAUUGCUGCCUUUUAGAGCCGCUAAAACUAGUGUGCAUUAGAUAUUAGCAAUGUUUUAUGUUUUAAAUAGCCAUAUAAUGACCUAGUUUUAAACAGCAAUAGAACUCAAAACAAAAUGCUAUGAUCAAACAAAUGCAUUUUGUUAAAAGUAGUCGGCACAAAUUAAUUCUUUGCAACUCUUCGCAAACUUUGCUAAAUGAACGUAUAGGCUACAACAAAGAAUUAAAACCAAUAGCCUUGCUAUUGUUAAUUAAAUAAAGACAUUAGCCUACAUUAAAUGUAUGUAUCUUUGCAUUCCAAGCUCGUUAAGUUUAAUAACUUGAAAAUACCCUUUCAUGUCCUGACCAUUUUAACUGUUAACACUUUCCACGGAAGGUUUGAAUAGCAUCAAUUAUGUUUGUUAAUUUCCCCCUUUGUUUACCCGCCAUUUUGGAGGGGUAGGUUGAUCAAAUUCGCAAAUCCACCCACAUUUGACGAGUAGCGGGUGCUAAUUUCCAUCCCUGACUAUUUGUAUAACAUGGUUGAUGUUUUUCAUUAGGAUCUUGUAAUGGUGUACAGAUAAGAGUAUAUCUGUCUGUGUGGGUAGUGCUUUGUCGUGAACAUGUUGCUUGUUAAUUGAGAGAUUUAAGUCUAACUAAGGAUGUGCACCAUUUUUUUUUAUGAGGUUUGGCAGAUUUGCAUUUCAUAUAACUUGCCAUGUGCCUCUGUCCCUUAUUCACAGAAAAGAGAAGACUUCCUUCUUCAAGAAAAUUUGCUUGGAGAUUCAUGUUGGUCUGGACAAGCCUGUUCCAGACUAAUUGUGACCUCUAUGCAAAUAAGUCUUCCCUUUUAAAUAAGUAAAAAAGAAGACUUCCUUUAUCAAGAUCUCCUUUAUCAAGACCUCCUUUAUCAAGACUUCCCACAUCAAGACUUCCCACAUCAAGACUUGGCGACCUCUUAUGUGUUUGGCG